Molecule: long non-coding RNA, 952 nt
Filed under: Nicotiana benthamiana
Lineage: Eukaryota; Viridiplantae; Streptophyta; Magnoliopsida; Solanales; Solanaceae
Description: long non-coding RNA (NBEN_LNC018403)
Source: RNAcentral
AUUGUUCGUAUAUUUUUCGAUGAAUGUUAAUCGGAUAAUCGGAACUUUUCUGAGUGUUUGAGGCUCCAAUUAUGUAUCAAUAGAUGUUUUGGGUGUUGUUCCGACAUCUCUGGUCUUAUUCCGACGAGUUCUUCAAACUCUAGGGUUUUUCGACUUUCGGACCUGGGGUUUUGAUGCUAUCCGAUGACUUUGCCUUCGGUCGAUAGGCGUUUUGGGUAAGCUUCCGACGUCUGUAACCUUAUUUUGGUGAGUUUCCGUUUGUUUUGAUGCUAUCCGAUGACUUUGCUUUCGGUAGAUAGGCGUUUUGGGUAAGCUUCCGACAUCUGUGACCUUAUUUUGGUGAGUUUCCGUUUAACUGCAAUCUCCAGUGACCGGACUUAGUCUUAUCUGGUGGUUGAAGGCCGUUCUUCUCUGGUCGCGAAGAAGGAGGGUAACACUUUCUCUGUUCUACGUGUUGUAUAUGUUGCAUGUCAGUUCUGGUUAGAUUGUGGUCUGUUCAUUGAGACUAUUCCUGUGUUGUUAAAUCUGUUCAUUGUUCAUGGUUGUUAAUAUGAAUACUAAUACCUCCCCCGCAGACUCUACUAGUCCCCUCCUAAUUUACUCCUCCGACGUUCCUGGUAUGUCUCUGGUGUCCACUCCCUUUUCAGGCAGUGGUUAUGGAGGUUGGAGGAGGAAGAUGAUUGUUGCCUUAUCUGCUAAAAACAAAAUCGGAUUUGUUGAUGGCUCAUGUCCUCGACCAACCACUAAUGUGGCUGAACAGAGGUUGUGGGAUAGAUGUAAUAACAUGGUCAUUUCCUGGUUGACUGCUUCCCCAUCUCCUCAGAUUGUUAAUAGUGUGCAGUAUUCCGAUAUUGCACAGAGUAUAUGGUCCCAAAUUGAGAAAAGAUACGGUACUCCUAACAAGACCAAAAUUUUUGAAUUAAAAAGGGAACUUUCUCACACAUCUCAAGGC